UUGGAGGUAAUUGGUGGGAGAGAAAUGGAAUUUAGCUACGAGAGAUUAAAAUUCUAUUGUUUGUUUAGAGGGUACGGGAGUUUUAGUGGAAUAAAGAAUAAGAGGUUAGAUGAGCAAUUCCCACCUAUCACUUCAUAGGGGAGGGUGAGGAUUAUUUUAGAUGGAAGAUGGAUGCAUAUGCAUCGUUAAUCAUGACUUCAGAUAUAAUUCCUCACCUCUAAACUCCCCCUCUUAAUUUUCUCGGAAAAACAAACAAGAUAAUCAGACUAAGGAUCAUAGUCCUAAGUGAAUUCUCUUCGCCAAUUCUCACCGCUAAUUUUCAUGCCUCAUCUCGUUAG
This 338-nucleotide long non-coding RNA is filed under the name Setaria viridis. RNAcentral's name for it is "long non-coding RNA (SVIR_LNC010888)". The record is from RNAcentral. Lineage: Eukaryota; Viridiplantae; Streptophyta; Magnoliopsida; Poales; Poaceae.